This 164-nucleotide small nuclear RNA is filed under the name Chloebia gouldiae (Gouldian finch). Its description in RNAcentral is "Erythrura gouldiae (Gouldian finch) U1 spliceosomal RNA (ENSEGOG00005006283.1)". It matches the Rfam family "U1 spliceosomal RNA". Rfam says of the family: U1 is a small nuclear RNA (snRNA) component of the spliceosome (involved in pre-mRNA splicing). Its 5' end forms complementary base pairs with the 5' splice junction, thus defining the 5' donor site of an intron. Lineage: Eukaryota; Metazoa; Chordata; Aves; Passeriformes; Passeridae. The record is from Rfam by way of RNAcentral.
ACACUUUCCUGGCAGGGGAAACACCAUGAUCAGGCAGGUGGUGUUCCCAGGGUGAGGCUCAUCCCUUGCACUCUAGGAGUGCUGACCCCUGAGAUUUCCCCAAAUGUGGGAAACCUGAUUGCAUAAUUUGUGGUAGUGGGGGACUGCAUUCGCACUCUCCCCUA